Molecule: long non-coding RNA, 1290 nt
Filed under: Bos mutus (wild yak)
Lineage: Eukaryota; Metazoa; Chordata; Mammalia; Artiodactyla; Bovidae
Description: lncRNA (ENSBMUG00000017692.1)
Source: RNAcentral
CCCUCCUCUCGGUGCCCAAUAGUGGAAUUUUAGUUUCUGGCCUUGGAAACUCUUAAGGCUUUCUUAGUGCUGAUAAGAAGGAAUCUCUGAGAGAUAAGGAAAGUCACAUCCCGCGUCCUCCCAGCUGCAAGCUGGUCCUGAUGGGAGGGCAAUGGAGACCAUUCGCCGGGCGCCCCGAAGUCCUGCCAGUGCGGGGACUGGCGAGAGGCAGAAGUCUGAUCCUGCUUUCCCCCAAAACCUAUGCUGCCCCCGAGUCCUCAAGAGCCGCCCGGCAGGCAGAGAGAGGACCAUCCCGCUGGGGGCACGGGCAGCGCCCGGCCCCGUCAACCCUCCACGCUGCCACACCACCACCUUCCGCCCUGGUCCUUUUUAUUAGAAAACAGAUCAGGAAAAUAGACACACUUCGGCCCACCCGUUGGCGUGGGCUCUGGGGCAGGGGUGGGAGGCGAGGCCAGUCCAGUUCUGGGGCCCAGGCUGCAGGGAGGUGGCGGCCACCCGGCCCUGGGACACACGGUCAGGGCCACAUCCCCGAGCGGGGCAGGGGGAGCUGGGAGGGGGAGUGGCCUCGGCUGAACAGAGGUGGGGACGGAGAGUGGGCAGGGCCCCUCAUCCGUUCCGCUGGGUCUCUCUGCCCCCCGCCCCCCACAGCCAGUCCCACGCGGUCCGAAAAACCCCCCCGCCCCCCACAGCCAGUCCCACGUGGUCCGGCCCCCGGGGCAGCUGCGUCAGGCGUUGAUGGCCCUCCAGCGCUCACUGUCCAAGCUGUUGAUGCUGCCGCUGUGGCAGGGCAGGGAGGCCACGUCGUCCAGGUAGGCCACCCCGGCCGAGUCGAACUGCGUGCUGGCCGCCCCGGCCGCCUCCGGGCCCUCCCGCCGGGCCACGGCGUAGGGCUGGGGCAGGUGCAUGUCCGGCUCCUCAGUGUCGUCCACUUGGCAUUUGUAGGAGAAGAGAAUCUUGGGCUCCGAGCUGGUGGGGAAGAGAGUCAGGGGGCCUCCGUGAGUCCAGAAGGCCCUCUUUUGCUGGGGCUGGGCCCCUAACGCCCAUCCCUCGCGGUGCCCUUCCUUGUUUGCCCUUUGGGGUCCACUGGGACACGUGUGAACCCCCCAGCUCCAGCGAGUGAACCCGGGGAGCACCUGCCUUCUCACGUCAAGUGGGUGGGCAGAGUCCAGCCUGGUGAACGGCGGGCCUUAACCUGCAGGUGCGCGUAGCACGGGACGCCCACCACUCUGACCCCCGCCCGCCCCGCUCGCCACCGCCCACAGGGCACACACGUGUGCGUGCACUCGCGAG